This 471-nucleotide ribosomal RNA is filed under the name uncultured soil bacterium. RNAcentral's name for it is "bacterial SSU rRNA". It matches the Rfam family "Bacterial small subunit ribosomal RNA", at positions 26 to 518 of the family's 1533-position model. The record is from RNAcentral.
AGAACGAACGCUGGCGGCAUGCCUAAUACAUGCAAGUCGAACGAAGGCUUCGGCCUUAGUGGCGCACGGGUGCGUAACGCGUGGGAAUCUGCCCCUUGGUUCGGAAUAACAGUUGGAAACGACUGCUAAUACCGGAUGAUGACGAAAGUCCAAAGAUUUAUCGCCAAGGGAUGAGCCCGCGUAGGAUUAGCUAGUUGGUGAGGUAAAGGCUCACCAAGGCGACGAUCCUUAGCUGGUCUGAGAGGAUGAUCAGCCACACUGGGACUGAGACACGGCCCAGACUCCUACGGGAGGCAGCAGUAGGGAAUAUUGGACAAUGGGCGAAAGCCUGAUCCAGCAAUGCCGCGUGAGUGAUGAAGGCCUUAGGUUGUAAAGCUCUUUUGGCAGGGAAGAAACGGCGUCCCUUAAUACGGGCGUCGACGUGACGGUACCUGCAGAAUAAGCAACGGCUAACUACGUGCCAGCAGCCGC